This 246-nucleotide ribosomal RNA is filed under the name uncultured bacterium. RNAcentral's name for it is "partial 16S ribosomal RNA". It matches the Rfam family "Bacterial small subunit ribosomal RNA", at positions 796 to 1041 of the family's 1533-position model. The record is from RNAcentral.
CACGCCCUAAACGAUGAGUGCCAGGUGUCGGGAAGCUUAGCUUCUCGGCGCCGCAGCUAACGCCUUAAGCACUCCGCCUGGGGAGUACGGCCGCAAGGUUAAAACUCAAAGGAAUUGACGGGGGCCCGCACAAGCGGUGGAGCAUGUGGUUUAAUUCGACGCAACGCGCAGAACCUUACCAGGCCUUGACAUCCUACGCGACCUCGAGAGAUCGGGGGUUCCCUUCGGGGACGUAGAGACAGGUGC